UUUGUUAUUUUUUUAUUAUUAUUUUAGUUCAUUUUUGAAUGUGUUUUUACUAGGAUAGAGAUUUUUUUCUUAUGCUAUUCCAACACAUUUGGAGCUCCAAGAAAGUUAAAAACAUUGUUGACUAGAAAUUUUCUUCUUCUUUUUUCUUCUUUUUUGUCCACAAUGACUACAAUUACCAGCUCCAUGUAUGAAGGACAACCGCG
RNAcentral lists this long non-coding RNA (203 nucleotides) under Lathyrus oleraceus (garden pea). Its description in RNAcentral is "Pisum sativum (pea) long non-coding RNA (PSAT_LNC010019)". Lineage: Eukaryota; Viridiplantae; Streptophyta; Magnoliopsida; Fabales; Fabaceae. The record is from RNAcentral.